This 253-nucleotide ribosomal RNA is filed under the name uncultured bacterium. RNAcentral describes it as "partial 16S ribosomal RNA". It matches the Rfam family "Bacterial small subunit ribosomal RNA", at positions 524 to 776 of the family's 1533-position model. The record is from RNAcentral.
UACGUAGGGUGCAAGCGUUGUCCGGAAUUAUUGGGCGUAAAGAGCUCGUAGGCGGCUUGUCGCGUCGGUUGUAAAAGCCCGGGGCUUAACCCCGGGUCUGCAGUCGAUACGGGCAGGCUAGAGUUCGGUAGGGGAGAUCGGAAUUCCUGGUGUAGCGGUGAAAUGCGCAGAUAUCUGGAGGAACACCGGUGGCGAAGGCGGCAUCCUGGACCGAUAUUGACGCUGAGGCGCGAAAGCCAGGGGAGCAAACGGG